GCCGGGCGACGGUUGUCCCGGUUUAAGCGUGUAGGCUGGUUUUCCAGGCAAAUCCGGAAAAUCAAGGCCGAGGCGUGAUGACGAGGCACUACGGUGCUGAAGCAACAAAUGCCCUGCUUCCAGGAAAAGCCUCUAAGCAUCAGGUAACAUCAAAUCGUACCCCAAACCGACACAGGUGGUCAGGUAGAGAAUACCAAGGCGCUUGAGAGAACUCAGGUGAAGGAACUAGGCAAAAUGGUGCCGUAACUUCGGGAGAAGGCACGCUGAUACGUAGGUGAAGCGACUUGCUCGUGGAGCUGAAAUCAGUCGAAGAUACCAGCUGGCUGCAACUGUUUAUUAAAAACACAGCACUGUGCAAACACGAAAGUGGACGUAUACGGUGUGACGCCUGCCCGGUGCCGGAAGGUUAAUUGAUGGGGUUAGCGCAAGCGAAGCUCUUGAUCGAAGCCCCGGUAAACGGCGGCCGUAACUAUAACGGUCCUAAGGUAGCGAAAUUCCUUGUCGGGUAAGUUCCGACCUGCACGAAUGGCGUAAUGAUGGCCAGGCUGUCUCCACCCGAGACUCAGUGAAAUUGAACUCGCUGUGAAGAUGCAGUGUACCCGCGGCAAGACGGAAAGACCCCGUGAACCUUUACUAUAGCUUGACACUGAACAUUGAGCCUUGAUGUGUAGGAUAGGUGGGAGGCUUUGAAGUGUGGACGCCAGUCUGCAUGGAGCCGACCUUGAAAUACCACCCUUUAAUGUUUGAUGUUCUAACGUGGACCCGUAAUCCGGGUUGCGGACAGUGUCUGGUGGGUAGUUUGACUGGGGCGGUCUCCUCCUAAAGAGUAACGGAGGAGCACGAAGGUUGGCUAAUCCUGGUCGGACAUCAGGAGGUUAGUGUAAUGGCAUAAGCCAGCUUGACUGCGAGCGUGACGGCGCGAGCAGGUGCGAAAGCAGGUCAUAGUGAUCCGGUGGUUCUGAAUGGAAGGGCCAUCGCUCAACGGAUAAAAGGUACUCCGGGGAUAACAGGCUGAUACCGCCCAAGAGUUCAUAUCGACGGCGGUGUUUGGCACCUCGAUGUCGGCUCAUCACAUCCUGGGGCUGAAGUAGGUCCCAAGGGUAUGGCUGUUCGCCAUUUAAAGUGGUACGCGAGCUGGGUUUAGAACGUCGUGAGACAGUUCGGUCCCUAUCUGCCGUGGGCGCUGGA
Molecule: ribosomal RNA, 1188 nt
Filed under: Shigella flexneri
Lineage: Bacteria; Pseudomonadati; Pseudomonadota; Gammaproteobacteria; Enterobacterales; Enterobacteriaceae
Description: partial 23S ribosomal RNA
Rfam family: Bacterial large subunit ribosomal RNA
Source: RNAcentral